This 6875-nucleotide unclassified non-coding RNA is filed under the name Leishmania donovani. Its description in RNAcentral is "gene:LdHU3.13.0840(CDS-product:C2_domain_containi ng_protein_putative)". Lineage: Eukaryota; Euglenozoa; Kinetoplastea; Trypanosomatida; Trypanosomatidae. The record is from RNAcentral.
AUCGCCUGAUGCACCCCCGCACGUGCUCGCAACAACAGUGUCGCAAUCCGCGGUGCGAGAGUAUUCAAAAGUGCAGACGCCGUAACUCAUCUAUUCCACGUUAUACGCGUGCAUCCACCUUUUCAGCGCGCAACGAGACAGUCCGAGAGGAGGGGGUGGCAGGGCCGCGUGCGCAGGCUCGCCGCUCGACCCCGCCUCACUUUCACUCGCUCUUGCGCCUCUCUGGUUUUCCUUCAAUUGCUCGUACGUUAUGGCCACGUUGAAGGUGACCGUCCAUGAAGCGCGUGACCUCCCAAUCAUGGACCGGGCGACUGGGCUGGCCGACCCGUACGUCGUCGUGAAGCUCGACGACAUGGAGCACACUACCGACAUUGCCCAUCUCACCCGAAACCCGGUCUGGGAGCACGACGUGCGUUUCGACACAGCCGAUCUGCUUGUGCUGCAGGAGGACCCGCUGGAGAUCCGCGUGUACGACCACGACAUCAUCAGCCGCGACGACAUUGUCGGCAUGGUACUGCUGGACUGCAACAGCAUCAUCUACCGCGCCAACCCGGUGGUGUCAGGGUGGUUCCCGCUGCUAGACUCUGGCGCCGGGCUCCACGGCGACAUCCGUCUUACCAUCCGCAUCAAGUUCCACGCAGCCGAGAACCCGCUGGCGCCGGCGCUGCCGGAGCGGUACGUGCGCCGGCUUGACCCCCGCGUCGCCGAGCGUUUGUCUUCGCUGGCGGCCGCCAUACCAGGCGGCAACGGUGGCCACGUUCAACACGCGAACAGCAACCCCCGCACGAACGAAACCAGCGUCAGCUUCUCAAUGGUGACCUCGGCGACUGGUUUGAACGCAGCGACGACGCAGAGCAGCUGUGUCGCACCCAUAAGCAGCAGCGGCAACCACGUAGCAAGCUCUGAGCAUAGCCCACGAGGCCUCAUCAAUGAGCCGUGCAGGAUCUCUGCCAGCGGCGUCAACGUGAACAAGAAAAACGUGAGCGUCGGCCUUUCGACAGCUGGUGCUGGCCACCACCAUCAUCACCAUCGCAGGCACCGAUCGACUUCACGGAAGCUGACAGGCGCGCGGCGCUUGUCCAAGGCGCCGUGGCACGCCCCCUCGCACAGCGGCGGCGGCGGCACAUUUGAAGCGGGCACAGACGUCCCGUCCCUCGCCGGCGCGAGCUUCAGCCUGGCGAAUAAUAACGUCAGCGCUUCCACCAUGAGCAGCAGCGCAAACUUCGCGCGCUACGACCCGUCGGUCUUGUUUGCCGGUCCAUCUGGCGCCACAACAACGGAGGCAGCGGUGGCCAUGGCAGCCGCUGCGGCAGUGGAAAACUCCGCGAUGCCGCUGCCUCUUCCUUCGCCGGCGCUGUUUCCUUUCCUGGUGGAGCAGGACUUGGACCCGCUGCGGGCGGCCCGCGUAGACCACCCGACGCUGGCCGCCGAGGAGGAGGGCAUAUUUGUGUUUAGCGUCUGGCGGCUCGACCCGGCGGUGUUUCGCGUGGAGUCGACGCACAGCAUGAUGGAGGAGCUCAUCGUAAAGGCCGACCCCGAGCACGUGCGUUUCACAAACCUGCGCAGCAGCCGCAGCAUCAACGAUGCCCGAGUUAUUCAGCUCUUCAAACUCAGCGGCAAGGUGCGACGGCAACUCGCGCGCAAGGUGGUCGAGCUGCAAUGCAACGCAGUGCUUGGUUACGUGGAGGAGUUCGACAUGGAGCCGAACGGUAUUAUCGUUCGGGCGUACGGCACGCCGUGUGUGGUGUCGCAUGUGAAGUACGUUGACCAGCGCGAGAUGGAGGCGUUGCUCCGCGGGAAGUCGCGCUACAUUCGGUCGAGCAUGAUGGCAGCGUAUCAGGAGGAGUUCCCCGGUGCGUCGAUGGCAGCGGCACCACCUCGGUCGCACAGUCCCGCGCUUCCGUCGUACGGCUUGUCGCCAAUCCUGAGCAACGGAGGAGUGGGCGGGAACGUCGGCGGCACCUCCACCCCGGCCACCCCAUCGGGGCCGACGCAGUCAGCGGACCUCAUCGCACUGGGCAACACAAUGGCAGCUCUGCCGCUACACCUGCCAACGACCAACGCCUCCUCCACUCCCAUGGCCGCCCAUGAUCAUCUGCUGCCUCCUUCCAUGUCCGCCUGCUCCUCGCAGCUCGGCACCUCGGCACAGCAGCGGCAGUCUGACCAUGCUGUGGCCGCCGCCUCAUGGGCAAGUACGCCGCUCUCGAGCAAGGAGGCAGUGGCGCCGACAGCAGUCCAGUCGCCGCGAUCAACGCCAGAGACCUACGCGAGUGCCAUGGAGACAGGCGACGGAGUUGACAGCUCAGGCGUGCCGCUGCUGUCGCUCGACAAUGGGGGUGGCAGGGCGGGCCUCAGCGCAGCCGCGCCGGCUUCCGCUCUAGCUGGGGCGCUGAGUGCUAACUCCACAACGCAUCAUCACUCGCAGGCUGCCCUCACGCUCGCCAAAAAUGCUCAGUGCUCAUCUCCGCCCUUCAGCCGCAGCUUCGUGGCACCCUCUGUGGACGCCACCGUACCCAUGCUCCCCGACGCGCUCAUGCAGCAGCCGUCCCAUGCGAACCUGAUGAUGCGGAGCGGCCCCACCGACACCGCGGUGGCGACCGUCGCAGCUACCCCAGCGACCGCGCCACCGAUGACGAACGCGCUUAUCGCUGCAAGCGGCGCCGCAGCUGGUGGCGGCCCGCCAGCGCGUGUCAUUAUAUCGAUGCUCACCGUCAAGGACCUUCCCGCCGGUUCUAUCCACCACAUUGGAGGCUACAUCUGCGCCCGCUCCGUGAAGAUUGUCUCGCGGGUCAAGUCGCGGCAGAUAAUCUCGCAGGAACGCGAUGCGUGGUGGAUGGAGCUGCGCGAGGAGCUGCGUGCCAACGCCCGCGCGUUCCACUGCAACACCGUGCUAGGCUAUGAAGAAGAGACGCAGUAUCACGAAGACGUCGUUCUGCUUUCCUUGUAUGGCACGGCGGUGAUGCUGAACAUGUCAGCCGCAUCGCUACGUGCCGGUCCCGAGCACCUUUUUUCCUGGCAGAAGCAGCGCGUCGCGUCCAAGCGCAACUGCGCCCUUCUGCACCUCUAUGAAGGAUCACGUCGGAAGGGCGGCCUGGGCUUCCUCGCCGGCGAAGUUGGCGAUCUUCUCAUGCACCACGUCUGCAGCAUCUGCCACAACAAGCCCGUUCCGGACGUGCUGCUGGCUGCGUGCACGCUGCCCGUCGAGCUGAACUGCGAGACGCCACCGCGGCUCGUGCAGGUGGCCGUGUCGAAGCCAAAGGCAAACGUGAAGGGGGUCGAGCUCGCCAUGGCAGUGUCGCAGGCGCUUCCCUUCAUCGAAUUCGCCUUGCACAAGCAGCUUCUCUUCAACCUCCGCCUGCAGCAGCUGAACGCGUGCUUCUCGCUCCGGGUCUCCAUCGUUGUCGGGCACGACGCCAUUAUCGGUAUGCUGACAGGGUCGGGCUGUCGCUUGGCGGGCCUGCCCGUGCCGCGGCUGCCUCGUGUGACCGUGGUGGACCAGCAGAUCGCGCACAAAGAGAGUGUGGUGAAGCUUCGCGACGUGAUCGCCUCACGUCGACGCCGCCGCAACACUGCACACUCCAGCAGCAGCCGAAGCACUUCGUCCUCCUCGUCCUCCAGCAGCUGUUCAUCGAGGCCCGCCGCUGCAGCGCAGUCGUCUGCGAUGCCAGGCGCCGACGGGGCGGUGCCGGCGCCGGCGGUGGCGGCAGCGGGGCUGCGCGGUGGUGGGUCUAGAGACAACGUUCGUGGCAUCGGCUCGACCGGCACGAAGGCGUCCAGCGCCGCCUUCACCGUUCGCUCUUUAUCGACUUCGUCAACCUCACACACCGACUCCUCGUCUUCCUCCUCAUUUAAGCGGUGCAAGCGGCAUCGCCGUCGACGUCGGCGCCAUCGUGCGCGCGGCAAGCGCGGGCGAGGCAACCGUGGCUCGUCAUCGCCGUCGCGUGGCCCUUCGCGGUCCCCCUCAGAGGCAGAUGCACUUCCGUCGACGACGUCUGGAAUCGAGUCGCUGCACAGCAGCCAGAGCCGCGACGCUGCGGCCGCGCCGGCUCAGAAGUGGCGUCGACACCGUCGCACGCGACACGCGAGCGCAUGUGCCUCGGCUGUCGCAGCAGCAGGAGCAGCGGCAGCUGGCGCUAGCAGGAGAGCUGGCGCCACCCCAGGCUCUCCGUCACGAGGGGCCACGUUGCCGAAGUCACGAUCGCCCUCUCCCUCUGCUGUGACGUCAUCGUCGCGCCCGUACAGCUCGUCCCGCUCCUCGUCCAGCAGCAGCAGCACCAGCAGCCGUACCCUCAGCACAUCCCCCUCAAAAGUGUCUUUACAUUCUUGGGUGCUGACGGAGUCGAGUAUGACGGACGAGGACGUUUACGCGCCGGCUGAUGAAUGGCGCACAACCAGCGGCGGCGUGCGCACAAAGGCGCGCGACUACGUGGUCAAGAUCGACGAUGUCGAGGAGGCGGACAUGAUGCUGGGCAUGGUGGACACGACGAACUUCGAGGAUGGGGUGCUGCUUACGCUGCCGUACGUGCCGGACAGCGCGAACGCCUUUGACUGGCAGGAACGCAUCGUGCUGUACCGGCGCUACUCGCGUGCGUCGGCCUUGCCCUUUGGCGGCGGCGGUGGCACUGGGGCGGCCGCGCUGAUGGGCAGUGUGAACAUGAGCGGCGGUCUUAGUUCCUACGGCGCCACGCGGAGCCGAAGUGUGCUUGGAGCCAGCGUAAUGGGCAGCAGCGGUGCUUACCAAAACUGUAGUGACCCUGCAUCAGCGGCAGCCGGUGGAGGAGACGGCAUGAACGCCGGUGGGGGUGCAGCAGCAGCCGGUCGCAUGGCGCUCACAACGCGACUUCUCAACGAAUACUGCGCGGACGCCAAGCGCGCCUUUGUGCACCGGGCAUGUCGUAUGGCGAUGCGCACCGGGCAGCCGCUGCGGCUGCGUGUUGUGAACUUGAGAGUGGAGAUGAUGUUUGUGCCGAACAGCGCCGACCUGCAGCUGCGACUCGAGGGCUGUGUGAUGGUGGCCAGCAGUGCUGGCGCACGGCAGCUUCGCCAGCUCGAGGAUCGCGCCUUUCGCGUGUGCAUGCAUUACACGAUGGAGUCCCUGUCGGGGCUGCAGCAAUACCAGCAGCAGCAACAGCAGUAUCCGAGUCAGGCCAGCCAGAGCAACCACGGCGGCGGUUCCGCGGCGGGGCAGCGCGCGGCUGGUGCAACUCCCAUCAUGGCCGUCAACGCUGUCGCCUCAGGCAAGGCCUCGCCUUACCUGCGGUGGAAACCGAACACGCCCGUGCUUUCCCCUCUGAUGGUAGAUGCCGCGAGCAACAACCUCGUCACCACCUCGUUGGGCGGGCCCGCAGCCGCUGCUGCUGCAGCAGUGCAGACGGCGUCGUCGCAGAACUCGGUGUUGCCGUCGAUGCCGCAGCCACUUGCGGCAUAUGCAGCGAACUCUAUGUGCGGCAUGCUAGCGAUGAGUUCCGUGCUGGCGACAGUUGACUCGGGACCGGCGUACAUUGACGCGCGGCGACUGUUCACCACCAGUAACGCACCCUUCUCCAUUCCGUACGUGCAGGACAUCACUGUGCCACCGCCGCGCGUGUGGAGCGGCGUCGCCACCGCCGUGUCGGAAGACACCGCCGCCCCGGUGCGGCACACCUCAACCUACGCCGAGUACCGUGACAGCCGUGGCUCGCGCACAAACUCGCUGACGCGGCGCUGGAACGCCUUUGUCCGGGCAACCGGGCAGUCCAUCAAGAGCCUCGUCGACCGCGCCACCGGCGGUGGCACGGGAGAUCGGCGAAUGCAGCAGCAGCAGCGGCAGUGGCUAUCCUCAUCCAUUGUGUCGGACGCCUCGGUUAGAGCGGGCGAGGAAAACGGCAGGUCGCUCAUGUCCGCUGGUGGCACGGCUGGUGGCCCAUCCUCCAUGACUGCCGCUGCCCGCGACGCCAACUACUGCAACCCCGCAGCGCGCCUGCCGAAGGAUAUAUCGCAGCUACAGAUGUUCAUCCCUGUAGUGCUCUUUACCCCGCUCGACUACGUUGCCGGCCGCUCCAUCGUCCGUUACCUCGGCCGCCUCUCGCAGCACUUCAUCCGCGAAGACUACGACACCGACACCGGCGACGGCCUCAACAUGUUCUUCCAGCGUGCGGAGACGGAGAUCGUGUGCGUGGUGCAGGCCCUUGUGCGGCUGAUGGGUGGCAACGCGCUACUAAAGCACCGCAUUGUGUAUCACGAGAUCUGCGACUCGGAUGGAUCCGGCAGGGCCUUCUUGUUCGCGACCGUUACGGGUGAUGUGGUGCAGGUGAGUGAUACCGUGUACUGGGGGAAGCACGCGCAGCCGCAGCGGCAGCAGAAGGACGGCAGCGCGCGAAAGAACGAGAAGGAGGUCGCCACAGGCGACUUCUCCGACGACGGUGACAGUGACGGCGCCGGCAGCAGAAAGGAGUGAUCGCCUCAGUGCCGGCGGUGUUGGUGACAAGAGGGACACACACACGUGUCGCGCAGCCGUACACGGCACAGUCGGCGCCGCUCCUCUGCCUCCUCUCACGCCGAUGCCCCGUGGUGAGUAGCGCCGCGUCUGCUCCGCGUGGGGCACGUUUGUCGCCAGAUCGGCGAGUCACUGCAGCCCGAGCAUGACGCUCGCAGCUGGGACACCUCUGAGUUGUGGGAAAUGUAGGCACGUGCGGGCUUGCGGGAGGAAGGCCGGAAAAAAACAUGUGUCUACCGCCGCUGUCCGAUCGACUGGAGUGCAAGGGUGUGAGGGUACGUGAUCAGGUUUGCUUAAAUCUCUUGUUGUCCACUCUCUCUCGCUGGCUACAUGUCCAAGUACAUGCCUCUGUGUGUGUAUGUGUGUGUGUGUGUGCAAUGAAAAGAUGCCCAAGAGCGCG